CGGCGCCCAACCACUCCCCGCGCCCAGCCGCUCCCCGCACCCAGCCCGGCUUCCGGGGCCCAGCCAGGGAGGGCUCCGGGCGGCAUGAGCAGGGACGGCGGGGGCUCCUCCGGCUCCUCCCCGGGCUCCUCCGGCCUCUCCAGGCUCUUCGACGGGACCCACGACGCCGCCCUCGGCGCCUGCCGGCCCACGCCCGAGGUACCGCCAAGUUGAGAGGCAGAGAAGCAGGACCGCAAGAGAGACAUGGCAAGAAAGGAGGUUUGGUCUGGCAGAGCCCAGGAAAACGUUGGGCACCCAAUCUGAAACCAUGCAGAAAGAGCAGCACAGUUGGAAGACGCACAUGGGGACAGGAUGGCAUGGAGAAGAAAUGAGAAGUACAAGAAAAAUGAGAUGGAAGAGAGAGAACACUAACUGCCUAAUUAGUGAUGAAGGAGAUCCAAUUAAUGUAUAUUGAACCUAAGCUCUGAAAACAGAGAACACACC
RNAcentral lists this long non-coding RNA (483 nucleotides) under Dasypus novemcinctus (nine-banded armadillo). RNAcentral's name for it is "lncRNA (ENSDNOG00000050798.1)". The record is from RNAcentral. Lineage: Eukaryota; Metazoa; Chordata; Mammalia; Cingulata; Dasypodidae.